This 443-nucleotide ribosomal RNA is filed under the name uncultured bacterium. Its description in RNAcentral is "bacterial SSU rRNA". It matches the Rfam family "Bacterial small subunit ribosomal RNA", at positions 355 to 825 of the family's 1533-position model. The record is from RNAcentral.
UGGGGAAUAUUGGACAAUGGGCGCAAGCCUGAUCCAGCCAUGCCGCGUGAGUGACGAAGGUCUUCGGAUUGUAAAGCUCUUUUGGCGGGGACGAUAAUGACGGUACCCGCAGAAUAAGCCCCGGCUAACUUCGUGCCAGCAGCCGCGGUAAUACGAAGGGGGCUAGCGUUGUUCGGAAUUACUGGGCGUAAAGCGCACGUAGGCGGAUUUGUAAGUCAGGGGUGAAAUCCCGGGGCUCAACCUCGGAACUGCCUCUGAUACUGCGGAUCUCGAGUCCGGAAGAGGUGAGUGGAAUUCCUAGUGUAGAGGUGAAAUUCGUAGAUAUUAGGAAGAACACCAGUGGCGAAGGCGGCUCACUGGUCCGGUACUGACGCUGAGGUGCGAAAGCGUGGGGAGCAAACAGGAUUAGAUACCCCUGUACUGAGCGGGCUGGCAAGGCGCAU